GGAGGGGUAAUCCUAACUGGUAAGGAAGCAGUUUGCUAAACUGUUAGUAAUCCGAAAGGGUGUGUGGGUUCGAGUCCCAUCCCCUCCG
This 88-nucleotide transfer RNA is filed under the name Dysosmobacter segnis. It matches the Rfam family "tRNA". From Rfam's summary of the family: Transfer RNA (tRNA) molecules are approximately 80 nucleotides in length. Their secondary structure includes four short double-helical elements and three loops (D, anti-codon, and T loops). RNAcentral also lists the same sequence under 1 other name. Lineage: Bacteria; Bacillati; Bacillota; Clostridia; Eubacteriales; Oscillospiraceae. The record is from Rfam by way of RNAcentral.